UACGUAGGGGGCGAGCGUUGUCCGGAUUCAUUGGGCGUAAAGCGCGCGUAGGCGGCCCCGCAAGUCGGCCGUGAAAUCUCCAGGCUCAACUUGGAGGGGUCGGGCGAGACUGCGGGGCUCGAGGUGGGCAGAGGGCAGUGGAAUUCCGGGUGUAGUGGUGGAAUGCGUAGAGAUCCGGAGGAACACCAGUGGCGAAGGCGGCUGCCUGGGCCUGGCCUGACGCUGAGGCGCGAAAGCGUGGGGAGCGAUCCGG
Molecule: ribosomal RNA, 253 nt
Filed under: uncultured bacterium
Lineage: Bacteria
Description: partial 16S ribosomal RNA
Rfam family: Bacterial small subunit ribosomal RNA
Source: RNAcentral